Molecule: unclassified non-coding RNA, 375 nt
Filed under: uncultured Pseudomonadota bacterium
Lineage: Bacteria; Pseudomonadati; Pseudomonadota
Description: uncultured proteobacterium contains 16S-23S intergenic spacer region
Source: RNAcentral
UCCGGCUUGACGCCGGCAGUCUCCCGAGAGUCCUCAGCAUCACCUGCUAGUAACACGGGGCAAGGGUUGCGCUCGUUGCGGGACUUAACCCAACAUCUCACGCCACGAGCUGACGACAGCCAUGCAGCACCUGUGUUCGAGUUCCCGAAGGCACCAAUCCAUCUCUGGAAAGUUCUCGACAUGUCAAGGCCAGGUAAGGUUCUUCGCGUUGCAUCGAAUUAAACCACACGCUCCGCUGCUUGUGCGGGCCCCCGUCAAUUCCUUUGAGUUUCGGUCUUGCGACCGUGCUCCCCAGGCGGAGUGUUUCACGCGUUAGCUGGGCCCCUGAUCCACGUAGACCAAGGGCGAACACUCAUCGUUUACGGCAUGGACUAC